RNAcentral lists this ribosomal RNA (473 nucleotides) under uncultured bacterium. RNAcentral describes it as "bacterial SSU rRNA". It matches the Rfam family "Bacterial small subunit ribosomal RNA", at positions 39 to 524 of the family's 1533-position model. The record is from RNAcentral.
CGCUGCGGCGUGCUUACCAUGCAAGUCGAACGGUGAACUCCGCUUGCGGGGGGAUCAGUGGCGAACGGGUGAGUAACACGUGGGCAACCUGCCCUCAGCUCUGGGAUAACUCCAAGAAAUUGGGGCUAAUACUGGAUAUGACCGCUGACCGCAUGGUCUGGUGGUGGAAAGAUUUAUCGGCUGGGGAUGGGCCCGCGGCCUAUCAGCUUGUUGGUGGGGUAGUGGCCUACCAAGGCGACGACGGGUAGCCGGCCUGAGAGGGUGACCGGCCACACCGGGACUGAGACACGGCCCAGACUCCUACGGGAGGCAGCAGUGGGGAAUAUUGCGCAAUGGGCGAAAGCCUGACGCAGCGACGCCGCGUGGGGGAUGACGGCCUUCGGGUUGUAAACCUCUUUCAGCAGGGACGAAGCGAAAGUGACGGUACCUGCAGAAGAAGCACCGGCCAACUACGUGCCAGCAGCCGCGGUAAU